CUCAGGAUGAACGCUAGCGGCAGGCCUAAUACAUGCAAGUCGAACGAUACCAUCUGGCUUGCCAGAUGGGAAAGUGGCGCACGGGUGCGUAACGCGUAUGCAACCUACCUUAAUCAGGGGGAUAGCCCGAAGAAAUUCGGAUUAACACCGCAUAAAAACACAGGGUAGCAUUACCUCAUGUUCAAAUAUUUAUAGGAUUAAGAUGGGCAUGCGUGUCAUUAGCUAGUUGGCGGGGUAACGGCCCACCAAGGCGACGAUGACUAGGGGAUCUGAGAGGAUGACCCCCCACACUGGUACUGAGACACGGACCAGACUCCUACGGGAGGCAGCAGUAAGGAAUAUUGGUCAAUGGAGGCAACUCUGAACCAGCCAUGCCGCGUGCAGGAAGACAGCCCUCUGGGUCGUAAACUGCUUUUAUUCGGGAAUAAACCUCAUUACGUGUAAUGAGCUGAAUGUACCGAAGGAAUAAGGAUCGGCUAACUCCGUGCCAGCAGCCGCGGUAAUACGGAGGAUCCAAGCGUUAUCCGGAUUUAUUGGGUUUAAAGGGUGCGUAGGCGGCUUAUUAAGUCAGGGGUGAAAGACGGUGGCUCAACCAUCGCAGUGCCCUUGAUACUGAUGAGCUUGAAUACACUAGAGGUAGGCGGAAUGUGACAAGUAGCGGUGAAAUGCAUAGAUAUGUCACAGAAC
Molecule: ribosomal RNA, 687 nt
Filed under: Pedobacter sp.
Lineage: Bacteria; Pseudomonadati; Bacteroidota; Sphingobacteriia; Sphingobacteriales; Sphingobacteriaceae
Description: bacterial SSU rRNA
Rfam family: Bacterial small subunit ribosomal RNA
Source: RNAcentral